AACUUGGCACGAAAGAGUGACGGAGGAGGCGAGCCGAGCGCCGUAAGCAAGCGGGUCUGUGCGUGGUGGGAGCAGGAAGCUGUGCCGUGUGGCUCUAGCUAAGUGUGGUCGUUUCUCUCUUUUCUAGGCGUGAAGCAGAGUGGAAAGCUGGGUAUCGGCAGCGCAGCUCCUCUGGCAAGGUGAGCACGGAGCCGUGGUAGGGGCGAGCAGGAGCGUGGGGCCAGGGUUUCGUUCAAAGAGCUACAGUUCUUUGUUUCUCGCCGUCUUAGGCGUCACCAGCGCUGAGGGUUUGUGACCGCGCCCGCGGCACGACGCGCCGACCGGACCGCCCUGGAACUCAGCAGGAGGUGGGUGUCGCGGACGGGGUCGGCGUUUGCCCCGCGACGCCGCGUGCCGGCGCGGCUUAGCGAGCGCGUGCUUUCUCGUGCUCCUGCAGGCGCUGAAGAGGAACCCGGCGACGCGGGAAGACGGCCGUUGGCGCACGUGGCGUUUUCCUCUGCCGAAGAUGGGUUCGGUCCCUCGGCCCUCUGAAAGCUAAGUGGAGGCGCGAGGGCUGGGAAGGGGCCGGAAAUGGCAGGGACGGGGGGUUUAGCUCUGCUAAGGGCAAGGGCCGUCCAGGAACCGCGCCCUUGGCGCGGGUCAAGGGCCCGGCGACCUUUACCGUGCGAUGCCAGCGUGUGCCGGGCAGGGCAGCUCCAGCCUGCGUCUGCGUUGUGGUGUAGUUCGGGAAGCCUGCCUUGCGCCCGUCAGCCGAUCCUGGGGUCUCGUUGCGUUCGAGGGGCACGAAAGGCAUCUCGGGUGCCAUCCCGGCAUCUGGAACGCCGGUGCCGAUUGGGCGCCGGUUUUCUGGUGUCGGCAGCCGAAAGCGUGGCGGGUUCUUGCCUUUCGGCCGGUUCUGUUCAGGGGUGUUUGCGGCGUUGUCCCGGGCUGUGCCGGCAGCCGUGGUCUCUACCCAUCCUGUCUCAGGGACUGGAGCUUCAAGAUGCUGGGAAGAAGUUUUUAGGUCUUGCAGCAGCUUCUCCUUUGGUUGUGCCGUCUCUGCUCGGUCGUGGCGGUGCUGCCAUGUCGUCAGGAGUCGUGACGUUGGGCUCCUUUUCCGUUUGGGGUUGCAGGAGAGGCUCCUCGCCUCGCCGCGGCCUCCCCGUAGAUUAUUGGGAUCAGUGCCCGUCUGGUCUCGGAGCGUCGUGUUCGUCGUGGAGCGUUUUUGGCGCUGUGGCUGUCGCGUGGUCUAUAAGAUUCUGCGGGGCGUCUGUCUGGGCGGGUGCGCGUUUGGCUCGGAGCUGCUCUGCCCGGACGCGUAGAGGCAGGGGAGGGUGGCCGGAGCUCUGGCGGUCCCCGGUUAACCUGCUGACGCGUUGAAUUGCGUGGGCAGAGGCGGUGCGGUCAUCUGGGAUGGAGUAGCCGUGGGCAGGGGAGCGGAGGGUGCCCGCGCAGGCGUUUGAGAGCCUCCACGAGAGCUUGGGACGUUAUUGCACGACAGAAGGCAGACCUGUGGGCUGGUCAAGCUGUUGAUGGGCUGCUGGGUGACUCUCUGAAUAACCUGAUUUCAGGAGCAGAGGGACAACUCGGCCUGGAAGAGCGACGGAGGAGGCGAGCUGUGCGCCGUAAGCAGGUGCGAAGCGAAGAGGAAAGCGGGCUGUCGGCAGCGCAGCUCCUCGGGCCAGGCGGCAGCUGAGCGUCUCGGCGGUCCGCGGCGUGGCAGUCAAAAGCAAGGGCGGCCGGGUGGGCGAGCGGCCCAGGCGCUUUGUGGGCCCUCUGGACCGGGAGGAGCAUUUGCGGCGUCACCAGUGCUGAGGGUUUGUGACCAUGCCAGCGGCAGGACACGCCGACCGGACCGCCCUGGAACUCAGCAGGAGGCGCUGAAGAGGAACCCGGCGACGCGGGAAGAAGGCCGUUGGCGCACGUGGCGUUUUCCUCUGCCGAAGAUGGGUUCGGUCCCUCGGCCCUCUGAAAGCUAAGUGGAGGCGCGAGGGCUGGGAAGGGGCCGGGAAUGGCAGGGACGGGGGGUUUAGCUCUGCUAAGGGCAAGGGCCGUCCAGGAACCGCGCCCUUGGCGCGGGUGAAGGGCCCGGGGACCUUUACUGUGCGCUGCCAUCAUGUGCCGGGCAGGGCAGCUCCAGCCUGCGUCUGCGUUGUGGUGUAGUUCGGGAAGCCUGCCUUGCGCCCGUCAGCCGAUCCUGGGGUCUCGUUGCGUUCGAGGGGCACGAAAGGCCUCUUGGGUGCCAUCCCGGCAUCUGGAACGCCGGUGCCGAUUGGGCGCCAGUUUUCUGGUGUCGGCAGCCGAAAGCGUGGCGAGUUCUUGCCUUUCGGCCGCUUCUGUUCAGGGGUGUUUGCGGCGUUGUCCUGGGCUGUGCCGGCUGCUGUGUUCUCUACCCAUCCAGUCUAAGGGACUGGCACUUCUUCCCAGCAUCUUGAAAUUUUUAGCGUUUGCCGCAGCUUUUUGCGCUGGUGUUGCUCUCUCUGUUUGUUGUGGCGGUGCCAUUUCAUAAGGGACCGUGGAGUUCUGUUCCUUUUUAUUCUGGUGUUGCAGCAGAGGCUCCUUGCCUUCCCACUGCCUCCCUGCAGGUUGUUUUGAUCAAUGCCAUGUCUUUUCUUGGAGUCGUUGAACAUUUUUGGUGCUGUUUCAGUCAUGUGGUCUAUCACGUUCUGUGGAGUCUUGGUUUGCACAUGUGCAUGUUGGGUGGGAGCUGUUGUGCCCAGAGUUGUAGAGUCGGGGUGUGUGGACUGAGCUCUAGGCGUCCACCGUUAAUUUGUUGACAUAUUAAAUUGCGUAGGCAAAGUUUGUACGAUCAUCUGGCACGGAGUUGCGAUGGGUAGGAGGGUGGACAUUCCCUGUACUGGUGUUUUACAGUUCAUACUCAAGACUGUUGUUAACUAAUGUUUUCUGUAGUGUGCUGUUUUUUCAGAGUAUUCUAACUUUUUUUUUUUUUUUAGGUUACCACAUUCUUAAUAUGACUGUAAAUAGUAUCUACAGCUGCACAAAUCAACUACCUGUCUGAGGUCAGUACAAAGGAUCCUCUGAGAAUCAAGAAGACCCCAGAGUCAGCUAUUGCUAUUGGACUGUAUUGUCACUUUUCCAUGUGAGAGAUGGGACCUGAGACACCAAUGUGAUGUUUACUGAGUUCACUUUAUUGUCGGACUUUAUACAAAGCUGCCCUCUCCACGUGCCUUGCAACAAUGUGGUUGUAUCACAUGCUAUACAAUAACGUGAUAGGCUGCAUGCACUGUCCACGCGCUCUGCACACAUGUGUCUGGCGCUUGCUCAUUCACUGUUACCUUCUUAUGGGGCUCCUUUUGUUUCUUUUGUCUCUGGCUUCACCUCUCAGCCAGGCUGGCGACAACCCCAUCCCCCCGGGGCGGGGGGGGGACUCGGCCUCGCUAUCUCCCCCUCGUUAAUAUUUUAUUAAGUAAAAAAUACCAUGUAUUUCACACUGUCUUCAAAGCAUGAUACAGAUUAAGAACAUUAAGGCUAAUAUAAUUACAAUUAACAAGAACAGUUCCAUUUUCAAUAUUCCUUUUAACCAGCAGGGUAUCCAACUCAGAAAACCCAACAUCUUCUGUUAUUUUAAUGUUCAGCAAAUCUUCUAUCUUAUGAAGAGUUUGGUUGUAUGUGUUGUUUGAACUUAAAAUAUAGCUGUGACCACGGCCCAUAACACAAAAUUAAUCGCUUCUGUGUUUUACAAAGUGGUGUGACAAUCUUGAAGCACUGCCCCCCAUGCUUAGCAGAACUAAGACCUUGUUAUGCCUUAAACAUCUGGUUUUUGUUAUGUGGGGAGGAAGAGAGAGAUGACACCUCAUCUUAUCUUUCCCAAAGUUUUAUGGCUAUGAAGGCAGACGCCUUGGAAGAUAAGGACAAUUAACAGUGUUGCCGUGAAAGGUUUCACGGCCUAAUUGGGAUGAUAGAGAUGAACCAUCUGUCGAACAGCCAACUACCAGAAGAGACCACGAACCAACAGCUACCCCUGACGGGCAAGACAUCUCGCUUCUGGUCAGUACCGUGAACUUCUCCUAGUUUGAAGACCCCAGAGCCGUUCCAGAAGAGUCUUCCUAAUUAGCAGGAAGAGGGAGCAGAGGGAGGAGAUGAACCGCCUUCUACUAUCUUGCAUGUAAAUGAACCGGCUUAUUAAACAACCUCACGUACGAUACAGGUCACCAGCAUGUAAAUCUUCAACGCGUCCCCCACUCCAGAGGUCGUCACAGGACGGACGUGCCUGUGGAGUGGUGAUAUCUUACUCUUUGUCUCUCUCUCUCUGCCUUUCUUUUUCUGAUAUCUUAGUUUUCCUCUUCUCUCUCUCUCUCCCUUUUCCUUACAAUGGUAUUUAUAUGUUUAAGUUCUGCUGCUAAAGUGUUGUUAAGUUUCGCAUUACAGUUACUAAUUGUUGCCAAUCCACUGCUUUUAGAAGGGUUUUUGCUGACAAUGUAUUGAUAAGUUUUGUGCUAUUAUAACAUACUUUUGCCAAGUUACUGAUUGCUGUAAUUUGUAUACCACCACGCUGUUCUAGUAAAUUCAUAAUUGGA
This is a long non-coding RNA of Columba livia (rock pigeon), 4517 nucleotides long. RefSeq lists it as uncharacterized. Lineage: Eukaryota; Metazoa; Chordata; Aves; Columbiformes; Columbidae. The record is from RefSeq and is a predicted model, not a curated record. The transcript has 6 exons.